Long non-coding RNA from Oncorhynchus nerka (sockeye salmon), 2777 nucleotides. RefSeq lists it as uncharacterized. Lineage: Eukaryota; Metazoa; Chordata; Actinopteri; Salmoniformes; Salmonidae. The transcript is spliced from 2 exons. The record is from RefSeq and is a predicted model, not a curated record.
CCGGGUAUGGUUACAUAGCAACCACCUAGCAGACCGGGUAUGGUUACAUAGCAACCACCUAGCAGACCGGGUAUGGUAACAUAGCAACUGUAACGGAUGUGAAACGGCUAGCUUAGUUAGCGGAGUGCGGCUUCUGUGGAGCGAUGGGUAACGAUGCUUCGUGGGUGACUGUUGUUGAUGUGUGCAGAGGGUCCCUGGGUCACGCCCGGGUAUGGUAACAUAGCAACCACCUAGCAGACCGGGUAUGGGGCGUUAUUACAUUUUAUUGAUUUAAAUUUGAUUGAUAUCAUUAAACAAUUUGUGUCAUAUACUAAUAAUUAAAAAUAUAUAAUAAUAUUUCCAUUUUUUAGCGGCAAAACCGAGGGUGGGAAAAAUGGGCCAGCCAAGAAAAUAAAAUACAGGAGAGGUUCGGAAGAGAAGGAGGGUCAUUCCAGAUUUUGUCUAGAAGGGACAAAUCUUUUGUCAAAAAUGUAUUUUUUGUAGCAGGUUAGGAGAAUUAACAUAGCAGGUUAAGAGGAAUAGGUUAAGGUUAGGAAAAGGGUUAGCUAAAAUGCAGCAACAAAAAUACUUUUGAUGUCAAUUUAAUUCCAUGGUGAAAUGUGAUUUUGCAUACUAGUAACAUGAUUGAUAGUGAAAUGUCGGAAUUGAUUUUCGUUUAACGAACCUGUUCGUUCUCACACUUGGUGUAAAUCUUUGCAUUCACCAUCACAUGUACUUGAAAUUAUAUUGUGAAAUACAUUUUCAUUAUAAUGCUAUUGAAAUUGUACAAUUCUUCCAAUGUCUCAUACCAUAUACCUUUUUAUGAAAUUGUGCACAUGAAUAGAUAUUAAGUUAACUUUGAAUGACCGUAAAUGGAACCUUUACAGCCUCAAGUCUUCAUUGGAGAACUGUGACCUGUGCUGAGGUACCUGUGCUGAGGUACAUCUGCAAGAUGGUGGCUGGCAGACUUUAAAAAAUACAUUCAUGUCAUAUCAAUGGCACUAAGCUGUUUUUGUUUUUUUCCUUUUUGUUUGCUGUCACAAUUUACCGAACUAUAAUAAUUAAUAAGUGAUUAAUAAGGAGCAUCCAGACGUUGCACAAACAAUUUAUUUGUAACUAUAAUGAAAAAAUAUAAAUGCAACAUGUAAAGUUUUUGGUCCCAUUUUUCAUGAGCUGAAAGAAAAGAUCCCAGGAAUAUUCCAUUCGCACAAAAAUAUAAUUUCUCUCAUUAAAUGCACAAAUUUGUUAACAUCCCUGUUAGCGAGGGUUUCUCCUUUGCCAAGAUAAUCCAUCCACCUGACCAGUCUGGCAUAUCAAGAAUCUGAUUAAACAGCAUGAUUAUUACACAGGUGCACCUUGUGCUGAGGAGUAUUCCUGUUUGUAAUAAAGCCCUUUUUUGGAGAAAAACUGAUUGGCUGUGACCUGGCUCCCAAGUGGGUGGGCCUAUGCCCUCCAAGCCCACCGAUUGGCUGCGACCCUGCCCAGUCAUGUGAAAUCCAUAGAUUAGGGCCUAAUUAAUUUAUUUCAAUUGACUGAUUUCCUUAUAUGAACUGUAACUCAGUAAAACCUUUGAAAUUGUUGCAUGUUGCGUUUAUUUUUUGGGGGGGUUUCAGUAUAGCGCUUAAGUAGUUUUUUGAUCAAUUUACUUUUUUAUUCUCACUUGACUAGUUUCUUAAGAAGGCAAAUUUUACUUGAGUAAAUUACAAUCUGAGUAAUAGUACUUUUGAACUGUUUCCAGUCUGUCUGCAGGUCCGCCAGCUCUACACCACCACCCGGUUAGGCAUCUACACAGUUCUGUUUGAGAAGAUGACGAGACAGGAUGAGACUCCGCCCAACUUCCUCAUGAAGGGGUUAUGAGUCUGUUGUUUUUAAAUCCUUUCAAUAUUUGUUUAUGUGUGUAUUGUUGUAAUUUAAUGGCUGAGGCAACUAUAUGUGUAAUUUAAAUAUUUCUUAUAAAAUGCCUUGAUUGGCCACCGGAACCUUCGUAGGAACACCUGCCGAGGUCGCUCUGAUCAGGAUGACCGCUGACGGACGGCUCCAUGGGUCGAUGAGGAAAACGACGGUUGAAAGAGAUGGGACAAAAGGCGAAUUUAGUCUGUCUGCACAUCUGACUGCACAUUUAAUGAUGUGACUAAACUCAACAAAAAGAAGAAGAAACUGUAUUAUGAAGCCAAGAUCAACGAUAUAAAGAACGAUGGAAAAGACAAAUUCAACUCCAUCUUUCAUCUAAUCAGAUUCAUCACAAAACUAUUUGAUGUUGCAAAUUAUUAGGAUUAGGAUCAUUGUAAAAGUGGGCAGGAAAUGCCAUCAACGAACAGUGAGCCAUGGUAUUCAUACAUGACAAAACAAAUACUGAAGGAAAAACAUUGCAAGUUUGAAUUUUGUAAAGUAUAUAUUGAAACACCGACGGUAAGGUUUCAAUACUGGGGGUGCAGGCUACGCCUCUCCUUAUGUCACGAGUCCGACCGAGGGUGUUUCCCCUUCCCGGGCGGGUGGCGCUCUGCGGUCGUCGUCACCGGCCUAUUAGCUGCCACUGAUUGUUUUUCCUCCCCCUCCUUGUAUGUUUAGUGGUAGCACCUGUUCAUGUUUAAUUAGUUUGUCUUUAUUAGACAGCCGGCCCGCCUGGUUGUUGUGCGGGAUUAUUUCUAUGUAACCUUCGGCUCUGUUAUUAGAGGUACGUGUUAGUGCCGAGUCGUGAUUUGUUCUAUUGUACUUUUUGAUUCCCUGUGGUUGGGAACGUAACUUUUUGUGAGCACCCUGUGGUGCGUUGGUGCUAUUAAAAGACGCACAGCAUUGAA